Molecule: transfer RNA, 75 nt
Filed under: Alphaproteobacteria bacterium
Lineage: Bacteria; Pseudomonadati; Pseudomonadota; Alphaproteobacteria
Description: tRNA-Val
Rfam family: tRNA
About the family: Transfer RNA (tRNA) molecules are approximately 80 nucleotides in length. Their secondary structure includes four short double-helical elements and three loops (D, anti-codon, and T loops). Further hydrogen bonds mediate the characteristic L-shaped molecular structure. tRNAs have two regions of fundamental functional importance: the anti-codon, which is responsible for specific mRNA codon recognition, and the 3' end, to which the tRNAs corresponding amino acid is attached (by aminoacyl-tRNA synthetases). tRNAs cope with the degeneracy of the genetic code in two manners: having more than one tRNA (with a specific anti-codon) for a particular amino acid; and 'wobble' base-pairing, i.e. permitting non-standard base-pairing at the 3rd anti-codon position.
Source: RNAcentral
GGGCGCGUAGCUCAGCGGGAGAGCACAACGUUGACAUCGUAGGGGUCGCUGGUUCAAUCCCAGCCGCGCCCACCA